UCGGGAUGAACGCUAGCGGCAGGCCUAACACAUGCAAGGUCGAGGGGGUAGAGUUCUUCGGGACUUGAGGACCCGGCGCACGGGUGCGUAACGCGUAUGCAAUCUACCUUAUACAGGGGAAUAGCCCAGAGAAAUUUGGAUUAAUGCCCCAUAGUGUUAUCGAAUCGCAUGGUUUGAUAACUAAAGUUCCAACGGUAUAAGAUGAGCAUGCGUCCCAUUAGUUAGUUGGUGAGGUAAAGGCUCACCAAGCCGACGAUCUGUAGCUGGUCUGAGAGGACGACCAGCCACACUGGGACUGAGACACGGCCCAGACUCCUACGGGAGGCAGCAGUGGGGAAUUUUGGACAAUGGGCGCAAGCCUGAUCCAGCAAUGCCGCGUGCAGGAUGAAGGCCUUCGGGUUGUAAACUGCUUUUGUACGGAACGAAACGGUGAGCUCUAAUACAGUUUGCUAAUGACGGUACCGUAAGAAUAAGCACCGGCUAACUACGUG
Molecule: ribosomal RNA, 491 nt
Filed under: uncultured bacterium
Lineage: Bacteria
Description: bacterial SSU rRNA
Rfam family: Bacterial small subunit ribosomal RNA
Source: RNAcentral